Pelobates cultripes (western spadefoot toad) is the source of this 113-nucleotide non-coding RNA. NCBI's taxonomy places the organism in Eukaryota, Metazoa, Chordata, Amphibia, Anura, Pelobatidae. The record is from the annotation of a GenBank genome assembly.
GUCUGUGUGUGUGUGUGGACUCAGCAGUCUGUGUGUGUGUAUGGACUCAGCAGUCUCUGUGUGUAUGGACUGAGUCCACAUACACACACAGACUGCUGAGUCCACACACACAC